AUUAUCUUAGUAUAGUAAAAGCAUCAACAUUUUUUUUUGAAGCAAUUAAAUUUCAUUAAAAUAAGGCUAAUGUCAAGUUUACAAAAAAUAGAGUAUAGAAAUAGAAACAGAAGUAAAAAGAAAUGAGCAAAAAACUCAUUGACUCUCUCCCAUUAGCUAUGUAGUCUAGUUAUAUGGUAACUUAUAACUAGAUACGUUGCCUCAGAAGGUUGGUCUCCCAUACUUCCAUCAUAGCUGUCUCCAAAGGGUGACAAUAUCUCUUCUUGUAAUACACUGAAUCAAAGGAGAGACUGAUGUCUUUAAUGACCUCUUUAAGAACUACCUUAGGAGGUCUACUAAUGUGCUGUCUAUACCUUUUAUUUAUUUCUGUCCAUAUAUGCUACGACAAGCACCCAAUAGCAUUCCAUAUUAGCCCCAAGGGGAAGAGUGGCGCGUAAUCUUUUGUGCUGCUUCAGUCAGAUCUCCCAAUCUAAUAUCUGGACUGGAUUGGGUGGGAAUUGGAAUAUUCAUUAUUUUCCAGAAAGCGAAAUCCAGGUGUUCCGCCAACGGAAUUAAGAAAGAUCUGCAAUAAGAACAGUUAAAGAAAAGAUGACUCCUAGAUUCAUUUUCCAGAUUGCAUAACAAGCAAACAGGAGGCACUUGUACUCUCCAACUCUUCAGCUUCUUGAAUGUGUUUAGGUGAUCCCAUUUCACCCUCCACAAGAGAAUAAAUUAUUUUGUCGGCAUUUUUUAACAAAUUCCCUCAGCUAAUAUAUUUUUAUGCUUUCUAUCUCUGAUACUUUCCACUAUUCCCCCCAACUUACUUAUUGGAGUAUCAAAUCUCCACACAAUCGUACUAUUGGCUUUACAAUCCAAACAUUUAUCCUCUAGGCUUCUUUCUGAAACAAAAGCUUUCCAAAAAUGCGAAUCCACAGUAGGCCUGAUUCAUAGUUCAAAAAGCGACGCUUUAAACGUCGCUUUUUUAGCUUAAAGCGGCAAAGCGGUCCUCCAGGACCGCUUUCUAAAAUGCUUUUUCUGGACGGGUUAUCGGGUCGGGUCGGGUUGGGUUAUUGGGUGGGGGCAACCCAUUACCCAUGUAAAAUAACUUAAACUAUUUUAAUUUCCCUUCCCACCCCUCCAAUUUCUAUCUAACUAUAUAAACCCAAUACCCUUCUAAUAAAACCCUAAUUUUCUUUAUCACUUUCACUUCUAUUUCUUCCAAACCCUAGAGAUAUGGGAACUGAAUCCCAAUUUCAUCAUUGCAUGAAUGAAAUGGAAGAAAUUUUAAGAGAUAAUAUAGAUAUUGGUGCACGUCUAGAUGAUUAGGUUAUGACUUGUAAAUGUUUUUCAAAUAAUUUGGAUGAUGUCUUGAAUAAUUACAGGUUUAUAUAUAUUUUAUAUAUAUUUUUUAAAAAAUUAGCAUUAUUUACAAUAAUGCCACUACCGCUUUUUCAGCUUAAGCGCGCUAAAGCGCUCAAAGCUGAAAAAGCGGUCAAUGGAAAAGCUGACCGCUUUUCCGCUUUUUGAACUAUGGCCUGAUUUGUAUAUCAUUAAGCGCAUUUCCUUUAAUAUACCUAUCUUGGAUCUAUUUUACCAGAAUAGAGUCAUUCCUAUCUCAGUACUUUGAAGCUCUUUUAAUAUUGGUUGCAGUGGUGAUAAUGGGAAGGUCUCUAACCCCUAGACCCCCUUCCAUCUUGGGAAUGACUAUUUGGGCCCACGAGAUCCCUUUCCUUCCGUCUCAUAUAAAUCUAUAUGCUAACCUUUUCACAUUCUUAGCCACAGAGUCAGG
RNAcentral lists this long non-coding RNA (1768 nucleotides) under Zostera marina. Its description in RNAcentral is "long non-coding RNA (ZMAR_LNC001520)". The record is from RNAcentral. Lineage: Eukaryota; Viridiplantae; Streptophyta; Magnoliopsida; Alismatales; Zosteraceae.